This 207-nucleotide long non-coding RNA is filed under the name Solanum tuberosum (potato). Its description in RNAcentral is "long non-coding RNA (STUB_LNC011169)". Lineage: Eukaryota; Viridiplantae; Streptophyta; Magnoliopsida; Solanales; Solanaceae. The record is from RNAcentral.
UUCCUUUCACCCUCCUCUACACAAAUCCGCAAACCAUUCGUUCAUAUUCAUAGCCAAACUCCGUAGAUCUAAGAAAAACCAAACAUAAAUCAUCACCUUUUUCUUUAGAUUUACGAAGUUUCGGUCAUCCCCGUCCUAUAUCCUUUACAUAAAAUUGUAGAGCUCUUCAAGGGCUAUCCUUUGAUGUAAAGUUUAUGUCCAAAAUCC